Molecule: ribosomal RNA, 406 nt
Filed under: uncultured bacterium
Lineage: Bacteria
Description: partial 16S ribosomal RNA
Rfam family: Bacterial small subunit ribosomal RNA
Source: RNAcentral
AUUGAACGCUGGCGGCAGGCCUAACACAUGCAAGUCGAACGAGUGGCGGACGGGCGAGUAAUGUCUGGGAAACUGCCCGAUGGCGGGGGAUAACUACUGGAAACGGUAGCUAAUACCGCAUACCAUCGGAUGUGCCCAGAUGGGAUUAGCUAGUAGGGGGGGUAACGGCUCACCUAGGCGACGCUCCCUAGCUGGUCUGAGAGGACGACCAGCCACAAUGGGACUGAGACACGGUCCAGACUCCUACGGGAGGCAGCAGUGGGGAAUAUUGGACAAUGGGCGCAAGCCUGAUGCAGCCAUGCCGCGUGUAUGAAGAAGGCCUUCGGAUUGUAAAGUACUUUCAGCGGGGAAGCGUUACUCACAGAAGAAGCACCGGCUAACUCCGUGCCAGCAGCCGCGGUAAUAC